CUUCUUUGUUGCUCGUAGUUGACAUGAGAGGAGAGAGACACAGCUGCUGCUAAUCUGUAGCCCCACCUCCGGAAGUCUUACACUGAAGCACUAACUGGACUUGUGCAGAAUUAUGCAGAAUUCAGCUCAUUUACUGAAUCCAUUUGUAACAAGAGAUCCUAGUGAAAGCCUUGCUGCCAAAGAUCAAGUCAAGUCAGCCUAGAACCCUCUUCAGGACUUCUUGGGAGGAUGACUACAAGGCUGUGCUGGGGACAAAACCUACUCUUUCCAUUCUCCCCAUAAUGUUCCCACCAACUAUCAGGAGGUCCCCAUGGGUUCCUGACCAUCCCCUAGAAGUGAGACGGUGUACAACAUAUUCUUACUGCCAGCUGCCCCUUCGCUGGGCUUUUGCUAUCUGAGGGUUUCUCCUCCCAACUGGAGUGCACCCUACUUCCUGAAUUCUCCAGAGAACAUGCUGUGGCCAGUCACAGUGAGCACUGAUGAUGAGCCCUGACCCCCUACACCUCCCAGGUAAGCUACUUCUGAGGGGUGUGUUCCUUGAUCCCCAGCAGCCUCAUAAAAGACCCUUGUGACUUGCCUUCCCGCUUCCUUUUCUGCCAGUUCUCAUCUCAGUCUAACUACUUGGGAGAGGGAAGGACUCAAAAUGACCAUAUAAGGUUUUUUUGUUUUUUUGUUUUUUUUUUUUACAGUAGAAAGAAUGAUUCUCUGAAAAUGGGAUUCUAGGGUCUGGGUGGUAUAGAGUGCAGGUGUUGCAAUGCACAAGGAUUUGGAUUCAAGACCAUGGUCCUCACCUGCAGGGGGAAGCUUCACAAGCUGUAAGUAUCUCUCUUUCUCACACUUUGCCUCCACCUUUCUUACUGAUUUCUCUCUGUCAGUCUGUAGCCUUCCCCCAUGUCCUAGCGCCUCCCUGCCCCACACACUCCCAAACGCACACACUGGAACAGUUUCCAUGGAGGUCCAACCUUGGCUGGCCAAGGAUAAGUGAUUUCUUGGUU
This is a long non-coding RNA of Erinaceus europaeus (western European hedgehog), 995 nucleotides long. RefSeq lists it as uncharacterized. The transcript is spliced from 3 exons. NCBI's taxonomy places the organism in Eukaryota, Metazoa, Chordata, Mammalia, Eulipotyphla, Erinaceidae. The record is from RefSeq and is a predicted model, not a curated record.